GUCCGCAGCGCACACUGCCGGCCACACCGGGACGUGCAGCCGUGGAUCUUGGGGAGCCGGGGUGCCUCCAGGUCUCUGACACCCGCCCCUGAGCCAUCUCUCACCAGGAUCUGAGCCCUGGUGACACCUGACAGAUGGGGAAUGUAAGCACAGAGUGAGUGGGGGAUCGUCGUGGUCUUCUUCCUGUUCUCUUCUGGAUGGGAACAUUUUCAGAAUGAAAGUUGAAGACAGCCCUCCCACUCUCGGGAUGAGGAACUUUGGGGAAAGAAGCUGCAGAAAGACCCUCGUGGUGGGGGUGCUGCGUCCUCCCCUUCAGCCCCACGGAUCUGUACCCCGGCCUGGGACAGAGCCCCAUUUCCCCUCACCUGAGACAGCUGAGAAUUCCCUGGAGAUGACAAGGAACGUAAGGACUGCUGCCACCACUGACCCAACACCCACGACCGCCCUGCACUCAGCUCCGCUGGAGGACGCCGGUGCUCUGCAGGUGCCGGUUCUCAGAGGGGAGAGGCCAUGGCGUCCUGGGCAAGGAGCUCGAUCUGCUUCCUCCACUCUGCUGACAGCAUCCUUGGAAACCGCGGUUUGGAUUUCCCGCCGUUCGUCGGCUGACUGCCUCCACAGCGGCUCGGCAAGGAGAGACGCGCAGAAGCUCUGGGAACGGGAGCCUGCGAACGGAGUCAAAAACAGGACGGACAAGGAGGCGUACACUGACUGGUGGCGAGGUGAGUGAGAGAAACUGACACUCCACCACAGUUUCACUCCAGCGGAGGACUUUCUGGGCCCGGGCAGUCCUGCGGGAGCAGGGCGCGGUGGCGACUCCAGCCACACAUUCCCCUCUCGGACGGGAUUGGUGAAAAGUGCCUGGCCUGCGUGACGCUGCUGGCGGACUAGGUAGGCUGGCCUAACCCAGAUCCCAGAGCCUGACGGUGGCCCGGAGGGGUGACUCCCGCGUAGGCUGCCUAGUCCGUAACUCCCUGGUGCGCAGUGGUGGGCGGGAACACCUAGCCAGCGCAAUUUGAUCAGGCUGUGGCUGACAGGCAGGGAAGCUGGGCCUCCUAUGUAAGCUUGCAUUUUAUAAGGAACGGAGAAAAUGGGGAAGGGAAGCAACAAGAAAGGCUCCUCGGCCCCCAAUUCUGAGAAACAGGCAAUAGCGGACACUGCACCAAUAGCACUGCACCAAAAGCGUCAUAUAGAGAGCCUCAUAGACCAAUUCAGGAAUGAAGUUAUCAAUGACCUGAAGCUAGAAGUAUGCAGAAUAGUUAGAGAAAUGCUAAGCACCACCCAGGAAAAAACAGAUGGUGGAAUGGAAGAACAGAAAAAGAGGGGAGAGUUGUUUGAUGGAGAAAACAGAGAAAGCAUAGAGUACAUGAAGCAGGUUCAAAGGGACUAUCAAGAAAUUAAGAAGUCUAUCCAAGACUGGCAUAACAGCUUGAAAGAAACUAAGGACAAACUAUGUGAGCUGGAGGGCAGACUUGUAAUAUGGGAGAAUGAAAUGAAAAACUUCUUAAAAAUAACAAAGAAACAAACAGCAAUAAUACAAAGACAAGAAGAUGAUAAGACGAGCCAU
RNAcentral lists this long non-coding RNA (1564 nucleotides) under Cavia porcellus (domestic guinea pig). Its description in RNAcentral is "lncRNA (ENSCPOG00000038953.1)". Lineage: Eukaryota; Metazoa; Chordata; Mammalia; Rodentia; Caviidae. The record is from RNAcentral.